This is a long non-coding RNA of Rana temporaria (common frog), 1413 nucleotides long. RefSeq lists it as uncharacterized. The record is from RefSeq and is a predicted model, not a curated record. The transcript is spliced from 4 exons. Lineage: Eukaryota; Metazoa; Chordata; Amphibia; Anura; Ranidae.
GCAAAUGCAAAGCUGUCCCCGCACACAAAAUAUUGCUUUAUGCAAAGCACUGGGCUAGCCUCGCCACUGCCUAUUGGCUGCUCCCCCCCAGCGCCUGGCCCCAUUGGCUCCUGCCUUUGAAUAUGAAUACAGCUGAUUUUUUUUUUUCUCUUCCACUGCUCAGAUUUUUUUUUUUUUUACUGUGUAUUUUUCUCCUCUCUAUAAGUAUGUGUUUGUCACACUAACGCCACUUUUACAAGCUGGUUCAAGAUAUCAUUAUUGGAUUUAACUCUCAUUUUUUAUUUUUUUUUAAGGAUUUUUUGACUUUCAAACUUUUCAUGAUCUAAGGACAAUAUAUAUAUAUUUUAAAUCCACUAGAAGGUAUCACUCACCUGCCUCUUCCCUCCACCUCCAGUGGUGUCCCUGCUAAUUGUGUGCUGCUCUCAAUAGGAAUGAAAUCAUUUUCCUUGUAUAUACAACUCAUACACCCUUGCCUUGCAUGUUCUCUGAGCAGUGAGUGUGUCACUUAUGUAAGGUUAUCUCUCCUUAUCUCUGGGAUGACCUAUAAGUGAUAAUGACAGUGUGAGGGGGUAUUGGCAGUAGGGUGCUCUGUACACCGACAGUCAGCAGAGAACCUGAGCAAUAAUAAUAAGCGCAUCAAGACAAAUUGUUUACUGUGGCAUUGCACAGACUGCAGAGCCCCAGAGAAGCCUCAUCUCACCAUCCCUGCAACACAGAGCUGCGGCACCAGUCCAGGCCCCCUGCCCAUCAAGGGGCACAGCGUCCUGGCUCUAGACUGAGACAUUAGCUGGAUUCCCUGGGGGUGAUUGGAGGCAAUCCGCAGAAAGUCGACAGUCACGUCCUGGAUGUUAAAAAUGCACUUUUGCUCAACUUGACAAGCUGGAGUUCGAUCUACAAUUGUAUUUGAAAGCGCAUAGAGCGGAAAGACCCCCACCCCCCCCAUGCUCCCACCCCCCAUCAUUAAGCUCCACUCUCCUUUAGCAAAAUAACAAGAUAUUUCAUUUGCACACAAUCCUGGAUGGAAGAACUCUUUUAAUAGAAAUCUGCUGUGUAAUUCAACAUGGGAUAUUCAAAUCCUGCACCCCCAUCUCUCCCUAUCAGCCCAUCCAUGUGAUCUCACUGAUUUUUACUUUAAAAUCUUGACUAAGAGGAGAGUUCCAACAAGGGGAUUUACACUGAUGCCAUGACCCUUGUAAUUGGAUUAAAUAUGGACUGACUUCAUCCAAAAAAACAUGGCGAGAUUGACACCUGCCAAGGGGAGUCCUCUGUGAUUGACUGUGAUGAGUCGUGCCGGCCGCAGUAAUGAAAUAAAUUGUACGGAUAAAACUUCCACAGUUGUCAUCCAGGGCCAUCAAACAGAAGCCAGAGCCAAAUGAGUGACAAUGAGAGCCAGGGGGGCACCAGAAAAAAAAA